AUACAAUUACAUGUUAAAGUGCUAAUCUCCGAAAAAUUUAUGUUUGAAUGCCAAUUAUACAAACAAAAUUAACAAACAAAUUAACAAACAAAUUAUAUACAUAUAAAAUUAAUUUAAUACGGAUUAGUACUCGUUAGAUUUCAAUCACAAUCAAAUCGGAAUACGUCUUAAAUUGUUAGAAUAAAUACCGCACAGAAAUCUGAUUGUGAUUUAAAUCUAACUAAUUUUAUGAUAAAAAAUAAAUAAAUCAACUUACAGAUGAUCGCUAAAUUUAAAUAAAUACUUAAUUAAUCCGGAAGCGUGCGAGGCAUUAUCCUAAGGCGUAUUCCCGUCCUUACGUACGGGAUUAACCGGAAACAACACCCCAAGGUACGACCAAAAUUCCUUCUCUUGCGAGCACGAUCAUGAAGGAGGUUGACGAAAACUCUUUCAACACCCGAUGACAAAAAGGAUUAAGAAAUUGCAUAAAAUAGAAAU
RNAcentral lists this long non-coding RNA (477 nucleotides) under Ananas comosus (pineapple). RNAcentral describes it as "long non-coding RNA (ACOM_LNC024097)". Lineage: Eukaryota; Viridiplantae; Streptophyta; Magnoliopsida; Poales; Bromeliaceae. The record is from RNAcentral.